RNAcentral lists this long non-coding RNA (1188 nucleotides) under Felis catus (domestic cat). RNAcentral describes it as "lncRNA (ENSFCAG00000049342.1)". Lineage: Eukaryota; Metazoa; Chordata; Mammalia; Carnivora; Felidae. The record is from RNAcentral.
ACAACCAAACAACCAGCAAUCACAAUCCCCCCCCCCCCCCGCCCACACACACACACACACACAUCCUAUGAAACAAAAGAGUACUCAUCAAUAGUGAAACCCCUCCCUCCAGUGGCAUGAUGGGCAUCUCCUCUCUCUCUGGGCACUCACCCGCCUGAUCCCAGAGAAAGGCAACGACCUCAACCAAAAGGAAGGAGGGAGGUCGGUACCUAAGAGGACUCACGGUGCGAGUAGAAGGCUGUCCGUGUGUAUACAAGCUAGGAGCGCUCGUCUAAAAAGGCCCCAGUGGCGCUUGAAACUUCCAACCAGAAAAGCCUCAUCGUUUCAUUUUUGCAAAGACACCAAAUACAAGGCGGCACCUCCCUCACCUCCUUCCAGACGUAGGGCAGUCAAGCAUCUCAAGACGACCGAGACUUCAGCAUGCCCGGCGGAAGUUCCCUUUUUCUCAGCGCAGAGCUCUGGAAUCGCGGGAAACCGUGCUCUCGUGCCGCAGGCAAAUGGGGCAGCUCGCGCAGGUUUAAAUCUAGCACUCGCCACCACCUCAGGAGACCCUGCUUUGAGCGGGGUUGGAACCGAGGCUGCUACAGGUACAACGCACGUUGAGCACUAAAGAGCUAUGAGCCGGCUUGCAAAUGCCGUGCUUUAAGCGGUCCUAAAGGCCUUCAUGAUAUCUUGCUGCCUUGCCCCCCCCCCCCCCCCCGAGCUACAAGUCUAACACCCUUUUCGUUCUUUCCCGUUCUUUUUCCUUCCUUCUCCUUCAACUACGAUACAAGACCCAUUCUCAUCUCUCCGGGAUCUGGCCCCUUACGGCUGCCAGGCCGCCGAGGAGGUCUUGUUGACCCAGUACGCGCCUCCGCAGCUUCCCUGCCUCCUCUUUGCGGCUCCCUUUUCCCUCCACCUGCUGUGGGUCCCCGGCCCACGCCGACCCCCCACCCACCGCACUGAGCACGUACGCAGCGGAGCCGAGCUGAGCGCCGGAAGCUCGAGCCGGCGGGUGGCGCGCGGUUCGUCUUUCCCGUUGCUGCCGCUGCGGAUGCUGCUCAAUCAACUGGAUGGGUAAGUUUGAAAAACAAGUUUCCGCUUUGAAAAGCUUUUCACUAUUUCCAUUGUCGGGGUGCUUCAGUUCCUCAAGGGCCUAAAACCUAACAUUUAAAAAUAAUCAAACAAAAAACAAUAACAGAAUCUUAC